AUACGUAGGUGACAAGCGUUAUCCGGAUUUACUGGGUGUAAAGGGCGUGUAGGCGGUUUAGCAAGUCAGAAGUGAAAUUCCCGGGCUUAACUUGGGCGCUGCUUCUGAAACUGCUUUACUUGAGUGCUGGAGAGGAUAGUGGAAUUCCUAGUGUAGCGGUAAAAUGCGCAGAUAUUAGGAGGAACACCGGUGGCGAAGGCGGCUAUCUGGACAGUAACUGACGCUGAGGCGCGAAAGCACGGGGAGCAAACAGGAUUAGAUACCCUGGUAGUCCGUGCCGUAAACGAUGAAUACUAGGUGUAGGGGGUAUCGACUCCCUCUGUGCCGCAGUUAACACAUUAAGUAUUCCACCUGGGGAGUACGGCCGCAAGGUUGAAACUCAAAGGAAUUGACGGG
Molecule: ribosomal RNA, 396 nt
Filed under: uncultured bacterium
Lineage: Bacteria
Description: partial 16S ribosomal RNA
Rfam family: Bacterial small subunit ribosomal RNA
Source: RNAcentral